RNAcentral lists this ribosomal RNA (142 nucleotides) under Staphylococcus epidermidis. Its description in RNAcentral is "partial 16S ribosomal RNA". It matches the Rfam family "Bacterial small subunit ribosomal RNA", at positions 1 to 136 of the family's 1533-position model. RNAcentral also lists the same sequence under 1 other name. The record is from RNAcentral. Lineage: Bacteria; Bacillati; Bacillota; Bacilli; Caryophanales; Staphylococcaceae.
UUUUAUGGAGAGUUUGAUCCUGGCUCAGGAUGAACGCUGGCGGCGUGCCUAAUACAUGCAAGUCGAGCGAACAGACGAGGAGCUUGCUCCUCUGACGUUAGCGGCGGACGGGUGAGUAACACGUGGAUAACCUACCUAUAAG